CAAGUACACUCUGAGACAGACUGCAUUCAUUAUACCUUUUUUGUUGUGUUGUUUGUCUAUUUGGGGUCAAGCCCCUCUGAGAUACCUGGAAUCUCGCUUCGGUACAUUAGUCCCUGUUGGGCACCUGUUGUUUCCUCUCUCCCCUCCUUUUUUCCAUCCUGGGGAGAGUAUACACAGGUGGACACACAGGGACAUAGAACCUUGUGUUCUCUCUCCUUUUUUCUU
Non-coding RNA from Pelobates cultripes (western spadefoot toad), 225 nucleotides. Lineage: Eukaryota; Metazoa; Chordata; Amphibia; Anura; Pelobatidae. The record is from the annotation of a GenBank genome assembly.